GCAUUCUUUUUUUUGAGACGGAAUCUCGCUCUGUCGCCCAGGCUGUAGUGCAGUGGCGCGAUCUCGGCUCACUGCAACCUCCGCCUCCCGAGUUCAAGCGCUUCUCCUGCCUCAGUCUCCCCAGUAGCUGGGAUUACAGUCGGGCGUCACCACGCCCGGUGAUUUUUUGUGUUUAGUAGAGACGGGGUUUCACCGUGUUGGUCAGGCUAGUCUCGAACUCCUGACCUCAGAUGAUCCGCCUGGCUCAUUGCUGCAUUCUUAAACCCUCUUGGUAGCUUCGUUCUAAGUGCUUCCAAGAUAUGAGUGAAUGCUAUAGAAAUUGCAGGGGAGUCCAAAGGGCUGCGCUUCUCCCGUGGCUCAGUCUUAUUUCAUACCUGCGACAUCUUUUAAGAGAGGUCUACCAGAGGGGAAUCGUGUCAUGAAAACCGUUGUGAUCCACCUUGAAUUUUCGGAGAAUCUUCAUUCGCAUCAUUGAAGAGCAAAUUUGUUGCAAUAAGAAAUAUUUUUUGGCUUAUCUUGGUUGUUCAGCCAAAUUAGUUUUUGGAAUUAAAAUUGAUACCGGCAACCUAAUGAUUACAGUGAAUUACUUAGCUGCAGCAGUAACUUUAGG
Molecule: long non-coding RNA, 610 nt
Filed under: Homo sapiens (human)
Lineage: Eukaryota; Metazoa; Chordata; Mammalia; Primates; Hominidae
Description: HSALNT0299238
Rfam family: Small nucleolar RNA SNORA14 (bases 251-385)
Source: RNAcentral